This 29-nucleotide non-coding RNA is filed under the name Mus musculus (house mouse). The record is from RNAcentral. Lineage: Eukaryota; Metazoa; Chordata; Mammalia; Rodentia; Muridae.
UGUUUAGUGGUCUUAGAAGUUUUAAAAAC